RNAcentral lists this transfer RNA (90 nucleotides) under Chloroflexota bacterium. RNAcentral describes it as "tRNA-Ser". It matches the Rfam family "tRNA". From Rfam's summary of the family: Transfer RNA (tRNA) molecules are approximately 80 nucleotides in length. Lineage: Bacteria; Bacillati; Chloroflexota. The record is from RNAcentral.
GGAGAGGUAGCAUAGCCCGGUCUAAUGCGCGCGCCUGGAGAGCGCGUGGGCCUGAACAAGGCCUCGCAGGUUCAAAUCCUGUCCUCUCCG